UGUUCAAGUUGUGAUUUUGGUUCGAAUUCGCCUACAAACGUACUGAUUUUUCUUUUUGGUUACAUGUUUCUUUGGAAUGUUUGGAAUUUUUUUUUUUAGGUCUUUAGAGGACACUUCUUGUCUCUCGUCGCUACAAUGGGAAUACGCGCCUUCCCCCUUUUUUUUAUCGGUUGUUGCGUUUUUUUUUUAAGAUAAAAUCUAUUGAGAGAUGACACGAAAUUUAGGUUUUUGUGUACCAAAGGGCAGCUAAUCUUUCCCUCCGCGGUUCGUUUCCUUCUGAGCAAUAAGAUUGUUCCCUGCUGACUGCUGAGUGUUGUGUUUAUGUCUUCGUUUCUGGCUAUUGAUUUUGGGUAAAUUUUGAAUCUUGUAUCGUUGGGAGGUCUACAUGUUUUUUUCUUUUUCCUUUUUUUGGCAUGAGAGGCAUUCAUCGUUUAUCUCUUGGCAUCUGAAUCAAUUAUUUGCUUUAUCUUGCAACUGGUGUUCUUUUCGUUACGGUGGAUGGAUGUAAAUAUUGACUGCGAUUUUAAUUUUCUCAGCUUUCUAGAAAUAUGUUUUUGUUUUCUGCAAGCAUCACCCUGUCAAUUAUUUUAUGAACUGAGAUAUCCUUUUCUGUUUCCGUUUCGAUCCCUUUGUUGAUUGUAUGUAAACAAAAAGGUUCACAGUUUUGUCAAUGGUAUAACUCAGGCAUCUGCACCGAUGAUUUACUAUCACCGAACAUCUAUAUUAGUUUGUAUCUGUAAAUAUUUUGAGAUCAUAAACAUUACCAGCAACCCUUACACCAUGUACUUGCAGCUUGCUUUAUCCAUUAUUACUUGCUAUUCAUUUUUCCAAGUACCAAAGGGCACAUCCUUAGUUUCCAUUCAUUAGAUUUGUUGGUAAUAUAAUGUGGAAUUUUUUUUCUCGUCCUUAGAUGCAUGAUAAUAAUUUUUGAACUGAAGUACAUUUCAUACCGUCCACCUUGUCUACAUAUUCCUAUUUUCCAUGUACUUUGUAAUCAAGUAAUGUCCUGUCUUAUGACAUUCAUUGAGGAUUUUUCAGUUCUUCCUCUUAUUCCUUCAGAUAUUAGACAAAGAGAAAUGCUAGGAUGUCCAGCCCUAUCACCGAAAAAUAGCUCCACACUGCCAGCAUGACACUUGGCACAGGAGGGUUGGUGCUUUAGCCUACUGUAAAUUGUAUUUACUCAUUGAAUCACUCCAAUCCCCUCAUGCCACAUUGAAUGCUCACCAUGCAAGACUUUUCUUUUCUUUUCUCUUCUUUUUUUUCAUGCUAACAAGGGUUGUUCUCUGUAGUAUUACUCCUGGACAAAUCAAACCUUUUAUGAUCUUUCGUGGAUCUUUUGCCCAUAUAUCCUUACCUUGGAAGAUAAAAUCUAGAGGGCUGAAGGCGAAUCAAAGACUAGUUGCUAGUAGAAGGCCCUAUUAUACAUUUCCUGAUGACUUCGGAAAAUGAAGAUGAAGUUCCCUUUCUGGCUCUGAGCGAGGAGAACAAACUGACGCUCUUUCCUUUAAUGUUCUUACAUAAAGAAGCUCCAUCUACUAGCAGUUCCUUUCCAUGGACUGACAUGCUACAUGCAUCUGCCGAGAUUGAAUGCCCACUUGAGAAAUGGGUUCAUGUUGGGUGUGAGGUAGCAACAAAUCAUAUGUGCCUUCACAUUGAUGGAAAACUGAUCGGGGAGGAACCUCUGACAUCCCUAUCCAGUGAGCAUCACUUUCGAAACAAUUUGAAGAGAAUAAGUUUAGCUGGUAAUGAUGGGAAUCUUGAUGGUUAUGUCUGUCAUGUUCAAGUUUUGGCUAUAUCAGCAUCGAUAAAAGAUCAGUUUGUAAAGAAUCCACCGCUAAAGUUAUCUCUUGAUAGUUCAUCCAUCUUUGAUGGAGUUGAAGAAGGUGGGGAUGGUGUCUGGAGCAUUGUUGGUGGCAAGGCUUCUUGUCGCAGGAAUUUUUGCCUUGAUGUUGUUCUUGCAAAUGCUUUUGGUCGGUCUGUAAACAAGGAGAUGGAGAUUGUUGCUUCACUUGUAUAUGCUGACAAUGGAACCCCUGUUGAAAAGACCAGAGAUGAUGCGGAAGCUCCAUUACUGACGAGCUAUGAUGGCCUUGAACAUCCUUCUACAGAUAGGCCAGUUCCGCUUAUUCGCGGACGUGCAACCUUUAAACUGAAGAUAUCUCAGCUGUCUUCUAAAUCUGACAAUAGGCUAUUCCGUGUUUGUUUUCGUACAACACAUGCUCAAACAUAUCCAUUUCUAGAAGCAUAUUCCCAUCCAAUCCGUUGCAUCUCAAGGAAUCGCAGUAACCGGCCAUUGGCUCUUGGGAAAAGAUUGGCUUCCACAACAGCCCUUCUUGAUGAGAUUCAUUCACUCAAAGGCAAUGAUGGGUCCGGAUUAAAUCAUGAUAUCUAUGGAGAUGAUCGCUUCGACAUGUUGAAUCAGAGUGUAUUGAGAAGUAAUACCCCAUCAAAGCAUUCUAAACUAGAAAAUGAUAAAUCACCUUCAGCAAUUGAUACUAAUGGAAUCUUGGAAAAGGAUGAGAUGUCACUGAAGACAAGCUUAGAAGUAAGAUCAAAUAAUUUUGAAGGAACAGAUGGUGCACUAUCAGAUUCUGAGAGCACUGAUGCUAGGAACUAUGAAUCCAGAUGGACAAAAGAGGUUAUGACCCCAAUUUCAGAUGCUGUCAUCUUUAAAUACUGUUUGGAAGGCACAUAUGAGCGGUUGAUGUUACUCAAAGAGAUGAUAACUUCUUCUAGUAAUGAAGAUAUCACCAAUUUCGCAGAGCAAGUUUGCCUGUAUGCUGGAUGUUCUCAUCACAGGUAUCAAAUAUUGAUUUCAAAGCAGUUGCUCCAAGAGGGUGUUGAUACUUGGAACUCAAUUACUCAGAACAGUCACCAUGUUCUCUGGACAGACGCAGUUCCUCAGAUCGAUAAAAGAUUCAGGAAUAUUGCCUGUUCUAACAGGGGAUUGUCGGGAGAGGACCUCGAGGUUUUGCGAGGAAUUGCUGGAUGCGGCGAUCAAUUGGGCCAUGAAGAAUUUGCUAGAAUGUGGUACUGGUUGUACCCUGUAGCAUUUGCUUUGUCAAAUGAACAAAUAAAUACUCUGUGGGCGUGCCUGUCACCCAAAUGGCUAGAAGGAUUAAUUACCAGGGAGGAAGCUGAGAUUGCACUUAAUGGCUCCAGAGGACUGCAGAGACCUGGAACCUUUGUUCUCAGGUUUCCAACCUCUCGCAGCUGGCCCCACCCAGAUGCCGGUAGCUUAGCUAUCACCUAUGUUGGUGCUGAUUCCACGCUUCAUCAUAAGCUUCUUUCUCUUGAUUAUAGGAAAAAAGACUCCAGACCACUUCAAGAGUUGCUUUUCGAAGAGCCUGAAUUAUCCCAAUUGGGAAGGGUUUUUCGACAGGGGAACACUGCUUGCCAGAGCUGAAGAAUGACUUUGGUAAGGUCACGAGUUUUCAGAGGCACCUCACUGCCGGGAGAGUGUAUUAUUUUCUUGUGUAAAAAUAUGAUGCUACAUACUGGAGGGUUUUGCUCCUGGACGAGAGGGAAAUGUAAUUAGUCAUUACCCCGGGUUUGGACUGGAGAUGGUCGGCCGGUCUGCCAAUCACAACAAUCCAUAUAUGGUGCAACAAAAGAUGGCCAUGAUUAAGUGGGUCUUUGUGCAGCAACGGAUAGCAUUCAGUGAAGCUUAAUCAUGGCCAUCAUGCAUGGUCCUGUGACUAGGCCUCUCCAACCCAACCUUGGACCAAAUUUGUUCUCAGAAACAUCAAUUCAGAUGAUCAAAACCAGUAAACUGAUCGAGAAUUACUUUGAAUCAGUGAUCGAUGAGUAUUGGUGGAGGGACAAGCCAACUCUGACGAAGACCACCAUGAGAUUGAAAUUUAGCAGUUACUUGGCUUGAAGCAGCCUUGGCUUGAAGCAGCCUUGAUCAUAUAACAUGAGAUCAAUAACCUCAUCAGUUGAGGUAUGCUACUCAACUAUCAACCAGCAUUAGAGUCGUCAUAAUGCAACUUCUAUUGAGAAUAUUUCUGCUGAUUUUUUUAUCCAAACGACCAACGUUCAUCAGACAUGAAUGCAUGAAUAAAGUUGACUGCAUAAAUACAUUGAAAAUUCUUAGUAUCAUCAACCAAUCGGCCAAUCAAUGGUAGAAGCUGGUUCAUCUUUUCA
Phoenix dactylifera (date palm) is the source of this 4146-nucleotide non-coding RNA. The record is from RefSeq and is a predicted model, not a curated record. NCBI's taxonomy places the organism in Eukaryota, Viridiplantae, Streptophyta, Magnoliopsida, Arecales, Arecaceae.